GACGUUGAUAGGCCGGGUGUGUAAGCGCAGCGAUGCGUUGAGCUAACCGGUACUAAUGAACCGUGAGGCUUAACCUUACAACGCCGAAG
RNAcentral lists this ribosomal RNA (89 nucleotides) under Acinetobacter baumannii. Its description in RNAcentral is "partial 23S ribosomal RNA". The stretch from base 1 to 77 matches the Rfam family "Bacterial large subunit ribosomal RNA", at positions 2849 to 2925 of the family's 2925-position model. RNAcentral also lists the same sequence under 18 other names. The record is from RNAcentral. Lineage: Bacteria; Pseudomonadati; Pseudomonadota; Gammaproteobacteria; Moraxellales; Moraxellaceae.